AUUGGGCGUAAAGCGCGCGCAGGUGGUUUCUUAAGUCUGAUGUGAAAGCCCACGGCUCAACCGUGGAGGGUCAUUGGAAACUGGGAGACUUGAGUGCAGAAGAGGAAAGUGGAAUUCCAUGUGUAGCGGUGAAAUGCGUAGAGAUAUGGAGGAACACCAGUGGCGAAGGCGACUUUCUGGUCUGUAACUGACACUGAGGCGCGAAAGCGUGGGGAGC
This 217-nucleotide ribosomal RNA is filed under the name Bacillus cereus. Its description in RNAcentral is "partial 16S ribosomal RNA". It matches the Rfam family "Bacterial small subunit ribosomal RNA", at positions 553 to 769 of the family's 1533-position model. Lineage: Bacteria; Bacillati; Bacillota; Bacilli; Caryophanales; Bacillaceae. The record is from RNAcentral.